GUGGCCUACGGGACGCAGCAGUCGGGAAUAUUGCACAAUGGAGGAAACUCUGAUGCAGUGACGCCGCGUGCAGGAAGAAGGUUUUCGGAUUGUAAACUGCUUUAGAUGGGGAAGAAAAAAGACUGUACCCAUAGAAUAAGCCCCGGCUAACUACGUGCCAGCAGCCGCGGUAAUACGUAGGGGGCAAGCGUUAUCCGGAUUUACUGGGUGUAAAGGGAGCGUAGACGGCAGUGCAAGUCUGGAGUGAAAGGCGGGGGCUCAACCCCCGAAC
Molecule: ribosomal RNA, 271 nt
Filed under: uncultured bacterium
Lineage: Bacteria
Description: partial 16S ribosomal RNA
Rfam family: Bacterial small subunit ribosomal RNA
Source: RNAcentral